AUGGUGUCCAAGAUCAAGCGGCUCCCGACCCUGGCCAAGGUGGCCCUGCUGCUCCUCGUCCUGCUCCUCCUCCUCGCCGCCAUCCUGCUGCUCAUCUUCCUGGUCCCGCGCCGCCGCACAUCGCCGCUGCCGCCCGCCGCGCCCCCGGGGCCGGCGGACAACUGCUCCGACCGCGCCGUGGCGUUCGACUUCUCCCCGUUCCUCGUCCAGUACAGGGGCGGCUGCGUCCACCGGAUGGACGGCACCGCGCGGGUCCCCGCCGGCGUCGACGCGGCCACCGGGGUGGUCUCCAAGGACGUCGUCAUCGACCACGGGACCGGCCUCGGGGCCAGGAUGUACCUGCCACCGAAGCUGGCGGCCGGCGGGGGCAAGAAGGAGAAGGACCUGCCGGUCGUGGUGUUCUUCCACGGCGGCGCGUUCGUCAUCAUGACGCCGUUCGAGCCCAAGUACCACGACUACCUGAACGCGCUGGUGGCCAAGGCGCGCGUGGUGGCGGUGUCCGUGGACUACCGCCUGGCGCCGGAGCACCCGCUGCCGGCCGCCUACGACGACUCGUGGGCGGCGCUCAACUGGGCCGCCAGGAACGCGGACGCCGGGCCCGAGCCGUGGCUGCGUGACCGGGGGAACCUCUCCCGCCUGUUCCUCGCCGGCGACAGCGCCGGCGCUAACAUCGCGCACAACAUGUUGAUGCGCGCCGGGAGCGGGAGCGGGCUGGAGGGCGGCGCGGCCAUCCUGGGCGUGCUGCUCCUGGACCCCUACUUCUGGGGAAAGCGGCCCGUGGGCGCGGAGACGACGGACACGGCGACGCGGCGGCGGUACGAGGAGACGUGGUCGUUCGUGUGCGGCGGGCGGUACGGCAUCGACGACCCGCUGAUCAACCCGCUGGCGGCGCCGGCGUCGGCGAUGCAGAGGCUGGCGUGCGCCCGCGUGGCGGUGACCACGUCGGGGCUGGACAACUUCGAGGCCCGCGGGGAGGCGUACGCCGCGGCGCUCAACGGCAGCGGGUGGCGCGGCGAGGUGGUGCGGUACGAGACGGCCGGCGAGCGGCACGUCUACUUCCUGGACCAGCCCGCCAGCCCCAAGUCUGCCAAGGAGCUGGCGUUCGCGGCCGCGUAUCUGAGCCGGGAGUAG
This 1131-nucleotide ribosomal RNA is filed under the name Triticum aestivum (bread wheat). Its description in RNAcentral is "partial small subunit ribosomal RNA". Lineage: Eukaryota; Viridiplantae; Streptophyta; Magnoliopsida; Poales; Poaceae. The record is from RNAcentral.